This 41835-nucleotide long non-coding RNA is filed under the name Triticum aestivum (bread wheat). RNAcentral's name for it is "long non-coding RNA (TAES_LNC022760)". The stretch from base 16974 to 17132 matches the Rfam family "MIR1120/MIR1122 microRNA precursor family". Lineage: Eukaryota; Viridiplantae; Streptophyta; Magnoliopsida; Poales; Poaceae. The record is from RNAcentral.
UUUUUUUGUGUUUCACCCACAACUAAGCAAAACAAAAAAAGGGAAAACAAAAAUCUACUUAGUAAAGAAAGCAAACAAGCACACACGAGAAUAUCAACCCCACGCUAUUGCUCCCCGGCAACGGUGCCAGAAAAGAGCUCGAUAAUCCUCAAGUGCAGGGAAUCAUCAUAGCAAUUACCAAAGGUGGAAGUGAUAAGUAUGGAGUGUCGAACCCACAAGGAGCUAAAGGCAAGAUCAAUAUUAUCUCAAGUCCUAUCUGCCACUAAUACGACUCUACGUACACCAAACAUUUGCUUCCAACUAGAAAUGAGAAAUAAAACUACGUUGUGGGUAUGAAGAGGAUAACUUUGCAUUAUAUCGGAGAGCUAAGAUAUAAAAGUAGGUGCUGUUAUCAUAAAGUUAGAAUAUAUUACUAAAUAUUUAAAUAGCGAGUGUGGAAUAAUGAUGGGUCGGUGUGCGGAAUUAUCCUAGGCGAUUGUUAACAAGACCGGUAAUCACUAUUGCAAUUUCAUAUGAGGGAGAGGCAUAAGCUAACAUACUUUCUCUUCUUGGAUCAUAUGCACUUAUGAUUGGAACUCUAGCAAGCAUCCGCAACUACUAAAGAUCAUUAAGGUAAAACCCAACCAUAGCAUUAACAUAUCAAGUCCCCUUUAUCCCAUACGCAACAACCCCCUUACUCGGGUUUAUGCUUUUAUUACUCAAGCAAUCCACUAUAAGAGAAUCAUGAACGUAUCACAACACCCUACAGCGGGAAUCCCUCACGCUUGCGCGACACGGAGGGCACAAUAGGACAACACCAAAAUAAAACAUACAACUCAUACCAAUCUAGAUCAUCAAUUAAUCCAAAGACAAAGGAUAUCUACUCAAAACAUCAUAGGAUGGCAACACAUCAUUGGAUCAUAAUAUGUGGCAUAAAGCACCAUAUUCAAGUAGGGAUUACAGCAGGGUGCGGGAGAGUGAACCGCGUAAAAGAGAUGAGGAUGGUGAUGAUGAUGGUGAUGUUGAUGAAGACAAUCACCGCAGCCAUGAUUCCCCUCCCGAUGGCACUCCGGUGCCACUGAGAGAGAGGAGGAGAGGUUCUCCCCCUUGUGCUUGCUCCUCCAUGGCCCCCCAUGGAUGGGGAGAGGUUCUCCCUCUGGACCUUGGCCUCCAUGGCGAUGAUGGCCCCUCCGGGAUCCUCCUCCAUGGCCUGCGGUGAUGAUGGCCCCCUUCGGCAGGGUGCCAGAGAGGGCCUAGAUUGAUUUCUCGUGGCUACAGAGGCUUGCGGCGGCGGAACUUCUGAUCUAGGUUAUUUUCUGGAGGUUUGGGCAUUUAUAGGAGAGGUUGGCAUCGAGAGCAAGUCAGGGGGGCCCACGGAGAGUCCAUGAGUCAGGGGCGCGCCCCAGGGGCUGGGGGCGCCCUCCAUCCUUGUGGGGCCCACGGGACUCCCCUCCGAUAACUUUUUGUUCCAGUAUUUUUUAUAUCUUCCAGAAAAAUUCUCCGUUGAUUUUCAGCGCAUUCCGAGAACUUUUAUUUCUGCACGAAAACAACACCAUGGAAGUUCUGCUGAAAGCAGCAUCAGUCCAGGUUAGUUCUAAUCAAAUCAUACCAAAAUCAUAUAAAACAUUUGUAAACAUGGCAUGAACACUUCAUAAAUUAUAGAUACGUUGGAGACGUAUCAGUCUCCGGGCCCUCACGCUUAUAAUGAGAUGCGUCGUCCUCUUUGUUGUAACACCAUAAAGGGGUUACUCUAGACUGAAGGGGCUGGAUGCAUUGCUUUAUCGCGAUGGCCAUGACUUCGACUAUCAAGAGUUCAGAAUGAGCGUGUAACCUGACCUUGCUGACCAACCUAUUACUUCCGCACUGUCUUCUUGCUUGGGGCUUCAGGGGCGCCAAUUGAGGCGUUUCUUCAAAGGAGCGCUGGAGAAUUCGGGAAGACCGCGUUAAACUGGGUCCGGAAGGGGAACAUCGUCAAUAUAAAACCAUUCUGAAGUCCAUUCUUCGGCUUCCUUUUUGGGAGUUCCAAUGAGGUAACCCGAUCCGGCUAUGCGACAUACUUCGGCGCCGCCCACUUCAAAUAUAGAACCCCCUUGAUGACAAGGGAUGAGGCAAAAGAACUUUCUCCAUAGUUCAAAUGAGCUCUGCAGCCUAAAAACAGUUCGCAGAGAGUGACAAAACUUGAUAUGUGCACGAUAGAACCUGGUGUAAGGUUCUGCAGCUAGAUCCCGUAGAACUCCAGUAGACCCCUGAGGAAGGGGUGGAUUAGGAAUCCUAAGCCCCUGAGAAGAAAUGAGAUGAAGCACACCCUCUCCUCCUUGUUGGGGUUGGGGAAAUUCUCUGCUAGCACGACAUUGCCAAUCGAGGCCAAUCCGGCCUGCACGAAGACUAGAUCUAUGGGAGGGAGAUAUCCCUGCAUCUGAAGUCGAUUCAGCUAGAGGUGGGACACUGAGCAGCUUCGCCAAUCACCCUCUUGAGGGCCAUGAGGGUGUGAGGAGGAGCUAGGAGCGCUUGCCAUGUUUUGAAGUUUUUCGUGGUUUGCUUUGAUGCUCUUUGUGCGAUGUGGGAUGGCAUUUAGGGAUCUAACCUCUUUAUAUAGAUGCUGCCCGUGCAUGGUAAGGGGCUUAUUUGUAAAAAAAUUAUGGAACGUUCGCAUUCGCCCAACGUGUGGAAAUCGAGGCGAUGACAGGAAGGAAUUGUAAAGGCAGAACAUGGAGGUUAAAACUGGAUUGUCGUUAAUCCAGAGUAUGAUGAAGAACCUGCCUUGCAAAGCCGAAGACAUAAGUCAGAUACUACAUCGCCAUUGAAGGAAAGUUCGGGGGCUACUGAGGGAGUCCUGGAUUCGGGGGUCCUCAGGUGUCCGGUCUAUUCGAUAUGGGUCGGACUAAUGGGUUGUGAAGAUAAAGCAGAAGACUAUCCCCCGUGUCCGGGUAGGACUCCUAUAUGCGUGGACGGCAAGUUUGGUGUCUGGAUAUACUGUUUCCUUCUUCUGUAAACUGACUCUGUACAACCCUAGGCCCCUCCGAUGUGUAUAUAAACCGGAGGGUUUAGUCCGUAAGGCUAUCAGAACAAUCAUAGGCUAGACUGCUAGGGUUUAGCCAUUACGAUCUCAAGGUAGAUCAACUCUUGUAACCCCUAUACUCAUCGAAUACAAUCAAGUAGGACAUAGGGUUUUACCUCCUUUAAGAGGGCCCAAACCUGGGUAAACAUCGUGUCCCCAUUGUCCCUUGUUACCGUUGAUCCUUAAACUCACAACUUGGGCCCCCCUACCAGAGAUCUGCCGGUUUUGACACCGACAAUCACCCCGAUUACCAACGACUGCAUUAAGGAGUGGUGGUUUAGAUCUAGAAAAGCCCCUACUGAAGAUCAUCAAGAAGGGAUUCAACUAUGUGGUCAUACUCACUGCUUGGACCAUUCAGAACAUGAAUGCGAUGGUUUUCGGGAAUAUGGACAACAACAAUUCAUCCCGGCUCUUGUGAAUAACAUUCAUGAACUCCAGACCUGGAGGGCUGCUGCAGCAGUGUGUUUACAACAUUUUGUGAGAGAGUAGCUUUUUAGGCUUGUUGUGGUGUUGGCUUGUGGCAUGAGUUGCAUUGCUAUUAGUCUAUUCAUGUAACAUACCUUGUUGCUUUCCAUGGAGUAUACAAAUACAGACUCGCUAAAUCUCAGUCGACUGAGAUUUAGUGAAGUCUUAGUCGACUGAGAUUUAGUGAAGUCUCAGUCGACGAGCCACAUGUCAGAUCCUUGUUUGCUUCAAGAUUCAUGCUGGAAGUGGGUUGUCUUGUUUCAGCCUGUGUAACACGUGUGUCGAGCCCGUUUUUUUGUCGGGCUUCUUUGUGUCGGGGAAAGGGAGAGUCUUCUCAGUAGGCUAUUCAGAUUUCUUUUGUUUGUUUUUUCCAGCUGUCAUACUAUAGAUCUGAGGGUAGGUGUUCCUCCGAUUUCUUCCGUUUGUUGGUCCAGAAGGUUGUUUUAAGUAGAGAUUAGUAGUUAUCUUCAUUUUUCCCAUCCGAGGGGGAUUUGUUUGUUCUCGUAGUUUGGACAAAGUGUAGAUUAAUAGUUUAUUUUUUACCAGUAGUCAAAAUAUAUUUUGGAUCAACACAAAUUAGUAAGUUUUAUUUCCAGUAGUAUGGAUCGAGUACAAAUUUUAUUUCAAGCAAAGUUUCUAGUAGUUUCAAGCAGAGACCCCCCCUCCCCCUCCCCCAAUUUUUUUGGUUGGGUGGUCUAGUAUUUUCAAGCAGUGUUUCUAGUAGUUUCAAGUAGAAAUGUUUCUUUGUUUUAAAUGCAAUAGAAUUUGUUGUUAGUCAAUAUAGAGUUUCUGUUAGUUUUCAAGUAGAGAUUCCAGAAGUAUGCAUGUAUUUAUGUUUUUCUGUCUAGUUUUUGAAAUGUUUCUUUUUUUAACAACAACAGAAUUUGCUUGUUAGUCAACAGAAUAUGUGCAUUUUCAAUUUUUGUGACUACAUCCUCUUAACAUAUCCACUUAUACGUAAAAAUAUCUACUUAUACAUAUUUUUGUUAGUAAUUGUUUCUUUUUUAUAUCAUCUAUGCAUAUAUGUUUGCUUUUAUCAUAUCCUAGUUAAGAAAUCGUUGUUUGCUUGUAUGGUCAUAAAAUAUGUCCUUUUCAUAUCCUUGUUAACAUCUUCGUGUUUUUUUGUUUUUUAUGCGUGCAAGAGAUGGUUUGUGAAGUUUGCUUGAGUCGUUGCAAGCACAAGAACAUGGGUAGCAGUUGUCAUCUAUGUAUGAGGAAUUUAAAAUCACGUCUAUGUAUGGGAGGAAUUUAAAAUCACAGCGGUAACUCAACAACUUUCAACGGCAACUACAAGUGACCAUUGUUUUGUUAGUGGGCGGGAGAGGGGGGUAGUUGCAUGUUUGAGACUAGGCAUGCAACUACAAGUGCUUGUCUACCCACCCGGUCGUAACUGACCUUUUUUUAUGUUGGAGGAUGACGGGAAAGGAGGGGUAGUUGCAUGUCUGACACUAGGCACACAACUGCAAGCAUCGCCCCAACUGCAAUUGCAUGUCUACCGAUCUAGCUGCAACUAAGUUUUGUUUCAUCGAAGAGAGGCGGGAGAGGUGGUAGUUGCAUGUCUGGCACUAGGCAUGCAACUAAAGUGUCGCCUUGAUUGUAACUGCAUGUCUACCCAAAUGACUGCAACUGAACCUUUUGUUUUGUCGAUAGGCCGCGGGAGAGGGGGCAGUUGCAUGUUUGACGCUAGGCAUGCAACUGCAGGUGUCGCCCUCGACUGCACCUACAUGUGUACCCACCCGACUGUAACUAUCCUUUUGUUUUCUCGGUGAGCAGUGGGAGAGGGGGGAGUUGCAUGUCCGACACUAGGCAUGCAACUGCAAGUGUCGCCCUCGACUGCAACUAACUUUUUUACUAUGUCAGACGAUGACGAGAAAGGGGGCAGUUGCAUGUUUAACACUACGCUCACAACUGCAAGCGUCGUACCCGACUACAAUUGCAUGUCUACUGAUCCAACUCCAACCGAGCUUUGUUGUCAGCUGGCGGUGGGAGAGGGGGCGGUUGCAUGUCGGCCACUAGGCAUGCAAUUGCAAGUGUCGCCCCAACUACAACUGAACUUUUUAUUUUGUCGGAGGGCAUCGAGAGAAGUGGGGGAAGUUGCAUGUUUAACACUUGGCAUACAACAGCAAGUGUUGCCCUCGACUGCAAUUGCAUGUCUACCCAUCAGACUGCAAUUGACCUUUUUUUCGUUGUAGGAUGGCGAGAGGGGGCAGUUGCAUAUCUGACACUAGGUAGGCAACUUCAAGCAUCGCCCCCCACUGCAACUGCAUGUCUAACCAUCCGACUGAAAUUGACCUUCAUUUCGUCAGAGCACAACAAGAGAGGGGGCACAGUUCGAUGUCUAGACACUACACAUGCAACUGCAAGUGUCACCCGUGUUCUUUUUUCUUCGUCAGGCCUUUUUGUUGUGUACGAGUGUUGCUUUUGUGGGAUGGGCACGUGUUCAAACAUGCAUUUUUGUUUCUUUUAUUCUUUUUGUCCUUGUUUUCUGUUGCAUUCGUGCUGGAUUGUUCCCCUGCUUCGCUCCCAUUUUCUUUUUUCUCUUUACCAUUUUUCUGUUUUCUAUUAGUUCUUAUUUUUUUCAAAAAUAUUACCACUUGUUUGCACAUACAUCGAUCACACACAAUUGCAUGUACAUACAACCGCGCGUAAUUACAUGUCUACUAUCGGUGUGGAACUUUUUUCUUUUCAUGUCUGCCACUAAACACAUCACUGCAAGUGUCGCUCCCGACUGCAAUUGCAUGUCUUCAACGUGACUGUGACUCAGUGAUGUUUUUGUCAGGAGGGGGAUAGUUGCAUAUGUUCCACUAGACACAUUGUCGCCACGACUACAACUACAUGUCUUUCGAAGUGCAACUUUUGUGGUGUUAUUAUUAUCACUACUACUAUUGUUCUCAUAUUAUGUAUUUUUUCUUCUCAUUUUAUUUUGUUGUUGUAUUUUUAGUUAUUUUCUAUUUUUGUAAACACAUUGUGAACCUUUUUUUAAUACACAUGAUGUAUUUUAAUAAUAUUUGUUUCAACACAUGAUGAAUAAUUUUGAAAAUAAACAAGCACUUUUUCCAAAAUAUUACGAUAAAUGUAAACAAAGCUUCCAUUUCUUUUUUACAGUGAACCAAUAACUAAUUUUUCGAAGGAGAUAAACAUUUAACAAACAAAAGGAAAAACAGAAAAACCAAACAGAAAACCGGAUGGUAGGAGAACCAUGCAAACCGCUAAGGUUACUACUUUUUUGAGACAUCUAAGGUUACUACUGGUCCUCCCCGUAAAACAAAAAAGUUUUACUAUUGGCCCGACUAGUGUGCCAGAACGAGCAUCUCCAAAAACUCUUGAUAGAGUCAAAAAAUCGCUGACCCAAAAGCACACAACAACCAAGAAAAUGAAGGCAUUAGGCUGCAAUAACAGGGUCGGCGAGCAACAGUAGAAAAGUAGCAGACUUAAUAAGAAACUAAAAUGGGUUGGGCUACUGUUGAACGAUGUCACCUGACUUAGACUUCGCGAAGUUUCAGUCGACUGAGACCUAAACCGACCCGAGUCUACCUAGAUCUUAGUCGACUUGCACUUCAUGAAGUCUCAGCCGGAUGAAAUCGUCCAUUUUUUUUACUUUUUUUAUAGAACACAUCAUCCCUUUGUUGUUUAUUAUUGUCCAGUCCAUUUCUCGAUUGCUUGUUGCUUUCUGGGUUGGUCAUGUCUUUGUGCGCAUCGAAGCAAAGUUGGGCUAGCGAUUUCGCGCAGUAUUUUUCUUCGGCGCUACUGCUCAUCGACUAGCCAUGGUGCACCAGUCGGCUAUAUUAGCUGAAAAAGCUGCUGUAGGUAUGCCCCAAAAUAAGAAAUAAAAAAACUAUUGUCUUUGCAAUUCUUUAACGUGUUGUUUCUAUCAGUUUUGUCUGGUUUUUCUUUUUCAUUUUUACUUACAUUUUUACAGAAAUGUAACAAUUGUCAUCAUAUUUAGAAAUAAAUGUGUUCGUAUAUUUUUCUAAUAUUAAUUGUGUAUUUCAAAAAAUAUCAUGCAACUAGAAAAAUUCCAAAAAAAUUAUUUAAAAAUAUUGCUUUUGCAAUUAAAAAAUGUUGUUUUAGCUAGUAUUUUCUUUCUUGGGUUGGGUGUCGCCAAGCAUUUUUUUACUUAUCUAUUUGUAAUUUUGCUAUCAUCCAAAUAAUUGACAAAUGGUACACUAACAAGAUAAGGUGCAGACAUGGAACUAGGUUGUUGUCGCAUGUUUUUUUCAAAAACAUCUUUUUAGAGAAAAAAAUGUCAAAAAAUUAAAUAAAAUAAAAAUAAAAAGUAGUAAAUAGAAAAGAAAAUGAAACAAAAUUAAUAAUAGAGUGGGGAUAUGACACAGUCGAUUGAGAGUUUAUUAAGUCUUAGUGAGCUGACAUUUGAACCAAUGCAAUUGUUGUUGGGGCAACACUUCGAGUUGCGGGCCUAGUGUAGACAUGCAACUACCCAUUUUUCACGAUAAAAAAUCACAGAGCCAUGAGAGACACUUGCAGUUGCAUGCCUAGUGGCAAACAUUCAAUUGACCCUCCACAAAACACCACCAAGUUUGUAGUUGUGUUAAAGACAUGCAGUUGCAGUCGGGGUGACACUUGCAACUGCAUCCCUAGUGGCGGCCAUGCAACUACCCUCUCCCCAGAAAUACACCAUAGAGUUGCAGGCCCAUUGAAGAUUUACAUUUGCAGCUAGGGCGACACCUGCAGUUGCAUGCCAAGUGGCAGACAUGCUACUGCCCCUUUCCUAAGAAAACCCAGCGACUUGCAGUCACAUUGAAGUCAUGCUGCUACAAUCGGUGCGACACUUAGAGUUACAUGCCUAGUGGCAGAUAUGCAAUUGCCCCAGUCCCUAAGAAAACAUCACAAAGUUGCAAUUGACUUGAAGGCGUGCAAUUGUAGUCAAGGCGAUAAAUGUAGUUGCAGGCCUAGUGACAGACUUGCAAUUGUCUCUCCCGACAAAAAUACCAUAGAGUUGCAGUUGCGUUGAAGACAUGCAGUUGCAGUCGGGGCCAACACUUGCAGUUAAAUGCCUAGUAGCAGACAUGCAACUACCCCUUACCUGAAAACAUCAUCACAGAGUUACAAUCGACUUGAAGACAUGUAGUUGCAAUCUAGAAUGACACUUGCAGUUGCACCCCUAGUGACAGACAUGCAACUAUUCCUCCCGACAAAACAACAAAGAGUUACAGUGCCAUUGAAGACAUGCAAGUGCAGUCGGGGCAAUACUUGUAGUUGAUUAUUGGUGGUAGACAUGCAACUGCCUCUCCCUUCGACAAAACACCACCAGAUUGCAGUCGUGUUGAAGACAUGCAAUUGAAGUCGGAGGCGACACUUGUAGUUGCAUGUUGGUGACAAACAUACAACUGUCACUCUCACCCGUCAAAACAUCACUAAGUUGUAGACGCGUUGAAGACAUGCAAUUGCAGCCGGGGGGAGGGGACACUUGCAAUUGCUUGUUGGUGGAAGACAUGCAACUACCACUCCCCUGACAAAGACAACCAAGUUAUAGUCGUGUUGAAGACAUGCAAUUGUAGUUGGAGCUAACACUUGCAGUUCUGUGUUGGUGUCAAACAUGAAACUACAUCAUCCUCUGUCAGAAACGCCACCAAGUUGCAGUCACGUUGAAGACAUGGAGUUGUAGUAGUUGGCGACAUUAGCAGUUGCAUGACUAGUGACAGACAUGCAACUACCCACACCUGCAGUCAUUUUUUUGCAGACAAGCGCAAGUUGAAUACCUCGUCAUAGACAUGCAACUGCCCCUUCCCCAACGAAAAACUACUGACUUGCAGUCACACUGAAGAGAUGCAAUUGUUGUCGAGGCUGACACUUGCAAUUAUGUGCCUAGCGGCAGACAUGCAACUUCCCUCCUCCCGGUGAAAGACCACAAAGUUGUGGUCGAGGCAAUACUUGCAGCUACAUGCCUAAUGGAAGNNNNNNNNNNNNNNNNNNNNNNNNNNNNNNNNNNNNNNNNNNNNNNNNNNNNNNNNNNNNNNNNNNNNNNNNNNNNNNNNNNNNNNNNNNNNNNNNNNNNNNNNNNNNNNNNNNNNNNNNNNNNNNNNNNNNNNNNNNNNNNNNNNNNNNNNNNNNNNNNNNNNNNNNNNNNNNNNNNNNNNNNNNNNNACACACACACACAAAACACCACAUAUUUGCAGUCGUGUUGAAGACAUGCAGUUAAAGUUAGGGGUGACACUUGCAGUUGCAUGCCUAGUCGCCGAUAUGCAGUCCCCUGGAUAAAACAAAAUAGUUCUCCAUUCAGGAUCGACACUUGCAGUUGCAUGCCUAGUUGUAGACAUGCAACUGUCCCUUUUCCAACAAAACACCACUAAGUUGCAGUCACUUUGAAUACAUGCAGCUGUAGUUCAAGGUGAUUGUGUAGAUUAGACACCAAAUAUUCUCAAAUAAAAAAAUGAAAAUUUCUUUAAUAAGGAAAUUUAAAAAAUGGUAGCAAACAAAUGUGUCGUUAGCAAGAAAAAGGUUUAAAAGACCAAUAUAAAACAAUAAGAGUGAAAAUACAAAGUCAGGAAAAUCAACAUCACCAAAGGAACACAAAUGAAAAAAGCAUUAAAAAGCACUUAAGAUAAAGAAUAGUAAAAUGCAUACGAAACACUAGUAAGUUACAGUCAUAUAGAAGACAUGCAGUUGUAGUCGACGAUGACUCUUGGAGUUGUGUGUCUAGUGAGAGACAUGCAACUGCCUCACCCCCCCUAUACCAUAGAUUUACAGUCGAGAGUGACACUUAUAGUUGCGUAACUAGUGACAAACAUAAAACUGCCCCUUCCUUCCCCGAAUACCACUCAGUUGCAGUCGCAUUGAAGGCGGGCAAUUGCAGCCAAAGGGAACACUUGCAAUUGUGUGCCUACUGGAAGAUAUGCAACUGACCUCACACACACACCACCGAAUUACACUCGCAUCAAAGAAAUGCAGUUGUCGUCGGGGGAAACUUGCAUUUACUUGCCUAUUGGCAAACAUGCAACUACCUUUUCCCGAUGAAAAAAGAAUAAAAAGGGAAAAUAUACGCAAAUAUAAGUCAUUCACCAAUUGCAUGCAAGGUGAGCCGCGUGUAGUUGUGCAGGAUAGAUGGGCAUGCAAGAUACAACAAAAACAUUAUUCAAGGCUGGAAAAUAAAUAAUAAAAUAAAGCCAAAUAAUAAAAUGAUAAAAAUGAAUGAAAAAAAAUUAAGAAUGAAUGAAAGCCAAAUAAUAAAAACACACAAAGAUAGUUCAAAGAAAGAUUUAUGAGAGAAAAACAUAACAAGAAAAAAAAGAAGGGAAGUAAGUAAGAAUUUAAAAACAAACAAAAACAAACAAAUAAUGAUAAAAUUCAAAAGGUUAAAAUAACCUCGAUAUCUAAAAUGAAUGAGUGCAAGCCAUUUAAAAAAAUAGACAACAUUUCGACUGAAAAAAGAAAUGCAACAAAAAAUUGCACGAAUCUUGGCACAUAGAUUAAAUGGUUUAUCGCAUUAGCAAAUCUUAUAUGAUAAAAUCUUGACCCACAACUAUACAUGCACGAAAAAGAAACCAUGGAGGAAAAUAGAAGUGUGCAUUGAUUAUCACGUGCUAAAAUAUGUAGGGAAAAAAUAGGACACACAUGUUGAUCCAGUAGAAAAAACAAGGCAACCGAUCCUAAAGAAAAAUCAGACAACCACCCGGCAUGUUUCCAACUACAGCCCAACAGACAAAAAAAGAAACAGGCCGACCGCGUCCCUGACAGGCUGAUUUAAACGUGGCAAGCAGCGUAGGGGAAACUUAAAGCACCAAUUUAGAUCCAAUGGACUGGACGUUCGACUGAGACUUCGAUAAAAAUUAGGGCAAACCCUAUUUGACGCUCGUUAGCGUCAGAAUGUUGUGCUUUCGCCGUGGGAGCCAUCGGUUGGGCCGGCCCAUGUACGGGAUUAGCGUUUACCGUUCGCUGCCGCUUCCUUCUCUAUUCCUUGCGUUUUUUUCCUUUUCUUCUAUGAUUUUUUCUUCCACUGUUUUCACUGUCUUGCCCGGGUUUCAGUUGUUUUCUUCCUGUUUUUUCUUUUUCUUUUUUGGUUCCUUUUUUCUUUUAUGUUUCCUUUUUUAUUUUCUCUUUCUGUUUUUCUUUUCUUUAUUGCGCAUUAUAUAAAAAGUUCACCACGUAUUACAAAAAUCUUCAUCAUAUUAAGAAAAAUGUUCAUCGUAUAUUAUGAAAUAGUGCACCUUGCAUUCUAAAAUUGUUCGUCGUGUAUUACAAAAAUGUUCAUAGUAUAUUAUGAAAUUGUUCAACGUACAUUAAAAAUAAGUUCAUUGUGUAUUUAAAAUUUGUUCAACGUAUAUUAAAAGAAGUUCAUUGUGUAUUUAAAAUUUGUUCAACAUAUAUAAAAAAUUUGUUCAACGUAUACUACAAAAUGUUCAGUUGUGUAUUUUAAAAUUUUCUAGUGUUUGUUUUAAAAAAAAGUUCUGUGUAUUUUAAAGUUUGUUCAACACAUAUUAUAAAAAUAUUAAUUUUAAAAAAUAACAUGAUUUGCCGCUGCCUUUUAUACUUUAAGACAGGUGCUGCAAUUUUACCCUUGUAGGUAGCUAGCUCGUCUGGUUGGCUCGCUUAGAUCCAGAAUGGGGUCGGUUGUUCGAUCCCAACUUGUGUGCUUCGUUUUCAAAUUUUUGCUCGACGCGUGCUUAUUGGGCCGGCCUGUUUGCGCUUGGCUUCAGUGAUGCCCGUCGCUCGGAAACAAUUAGUCGAGCAGAGGAAUCGAACUCGCGUCGCUGCACUGCUGUAGGCACUUCGCUAACCAGUAGAGCUACAUCACUACACUGAUGAAUAAUACCACGAAGUAUUUAAGGACAGCUGCAGCCUUCCAAAAUUUACAAUUUCACAGAUUAAAAAAAGGUUCACGAAUUUGUUUCAAAAAGAAAAGGUUCACUUAUUCAAAAAAGCUAACGAAAAUUGAAAAAAGUUCACAAAUUCGAGAAAAAAGUUCAUAAAUUUGCAAAAGUCCACAAAGUUUGAAAAAGUUCGCUAAUUCCAGAAAAGUUAACGAAUUAAAAAAAUUCACGAGUUUGAAAAAUAUUCAUGAAAAUUUCGAAAAAGUUCAUGAAAUACAAAAUAGUUCAAGAAAAUUGAAAAAAGUUCAUCGAUUUUCAAAAAGAGUUCAUACAUUUGAAAAAGUUCAUUGAUUUUCAUGAAAGUUCACGAGUUUUGAAAAAAAGUUCAUGAGUUUUAAAAAAAAGUUCAGUUAUUUUGAUAAUAGUUCAUUGAUCUUAAUAAUAGUUCCUCAACUUAGAAAAAAGUUUGUUGAAUUCAAAAAAUAGUUCAUUGAUUUGAAUAGAAGUUCAUCGAAUUCAAAAAAGGUUCACAAAUUGUAAAAGAGUUCAUAGAUUUUACCAAAAGAAUAGCAAAAAUGACAAAAGUUCACGCAUUUUGUCAAAAAAUGUAAGAAUAAAGAAAGAAAAAAAAUAAUAAAAAACCAAACAAAAUCGUUCAAAAAAUAUAGAAGUAAAUUAUCUUAAAAGAAGGUAAUUAGUCACGUCUGAAGAACGUUUUUUUUGAGGGAAUCGUCUGAAGAACGUGGCUUGGUGGUUAUGGCAGCGUUCUCGCAACCAUUAGCUCGCCAGUUCGAAUCCUGCCUAGUUCACUGUUUUUUUGCGAUUUAUCAAAAUGAGAACACAAUUAAAUGGGCUGGCCCAGGUCGCGGUAGGUGGUGUGCGCUGCAGGCGCCCGUUAACGGAAAUGCACGUUAACUGGCGCCUGCAGCGGCAAAUAGGAUUUGCCAAAAAUUAGUCGACUGAGUUUUAGCCCUUCCGAUACAAAUAUGAUACACAAUUACCAUACUGUCGAGGAAAAAACCAAAAAAGGCCAAGCAAAGUUUCCCACUAAUCAUUUGGUGACAACGAUAAUGAUAGUAUUAGUAGUAGAGGAAUCACUUGCGUUGGCAGAUGAUCUAUAUCAAGCAAAGGAGUACUGCCAUAUACCCAGGUCGCGGUAGGUGGUGUGCACUGCAGGCGCCCGUUAACGAAAAUGCACGUUAACCGGCGCCUGUAGCGCCAAAUAGGAUUUGCCAAAAAUUAGUCGACUGAGUUUUAGCCCUUCCGAUACAAAUAUGAUACACAAUCACCAUACCGUCGAAGAAAAAACCGAAACGGGCCAAGCAAAGUUUCCCACUAAUCAUUUGGUGACAACGAUAAUGAUAGUAUUAGUAGUAGAGGAAUCACUUGCGUUGGCAGAUGAUCUAUAUCAAGCAGAGGAGUGCUGCCAUAUACCCAAGCCUCUAUAUCUGGAAGCGUUUUUGCUCCAAUAUCUACCCACUUGGUUGAAAGUGACUCUUGGGUAGGUUCGAAACUGGCACGUGUAUUGUUUCGGUACGUGGAUGUGUACAAAUGAGUGGUGUGUCUAGAUUUUCAUUUGAAAUUUGUUGAAUGUGUGUGCAGCUUGGUUUGGUUCAUUUAGUAUUUUCUGUUUUGUGUGGGUCAAGUUCAUCUCCCGGCAGAUUUUUUGCUUCGAUGCUUCUUUCAGUUUUUGAUUGGUUAACCGAUGUUGGUCCGGUCGUCAUGUUGCUGUCGAUCUCCUGAUUGGUUAUUGGAUUGUGUUCUGGCCGCUGUUGGUUCGGUUGUCACGUCGCUAUCGAUCCUGCCGCUGUUGGGCCAGGUCCGUUUCUGGGUUCCUAUUCGUCAUCGGUUUGUGCGUCGGUUGCUGUUGGGCCAAUUGUUGUGUCGCAAUCUGGUCCUGUCACUAUUGUUGCGUGCGUGCCGCUGUUGCCUCGGUCGGUCUUUUUUUCGUUACGUGGUGUUUUGUUUCUUUCCGAUGGAGCGGUGCCGCUUUGCAGCGUUGGUUCGGGAGUCCGCUAGAUCGAUGCCGCUUUUCUGUGUUCCUUCAUCUCUGGAGGAUUCUGUAGCUUUUCAUGAAUAGACUUCCACCGUCGUCCACCGCCCACCGCUCAUCGAUCCAUCGUCGCUGCUCUACAAGCUAUAAAAGGAUCUCCUCGGUGUCCCUCCAUUAGCAUGUCUCCACGGCCCUUGCUCGAUCUCCAUAGAAGUUGUGUUCUUCUGUUUCUUUUCACUCACCACAAUCAAGCCAUACGGGGAGCGCAACCGUUGAAAAAGGAAAGCAGGCGAGGUUGAUCUUGAUGACGUCCAACUCCUCGCCGUCAAGGCCGUCCCAUGGGGAGCGCCGCCUGUCUCUCCCCAGGCACGCGGCCUGUUCUCUCCAGCGUUGGUUCUCCAUGCUUUUGCCGUCGUCGGGGGCGUGAGCCCCCUCUCCCUCUGCCUCCUGGUAUGUGGGACACGUUGUGUCCCUCGCUUCGCACCCUUCUUCUUAAUUAGUCAUGUGCAAGGGAGGGCCGGCGGUACAGUUUGGCUUUGGAAGCCGGGCAUCAAAUCCUGCUGUACAACGCUGGUGAGAUGCAACACCAAAUAUUUGAGUGGCGGCCAUGGUGGUUGCAGGGCCUCGGCCUGCUCUUCGAUCCUUUUCUCUUCUUUUUCUUCUGAGAUGGAAUGGUGCUCCGUACGCCGCAUCCCCGAGCAUGCCCCACCAUGGUCGGAUCCUAGCGGUCUGCAGCCUUCCUUGACGAGCGGCGUCACGGUCCAUAGCGUUGGUGGAGGCGGCGAUCAAGACGGCGGGCAGCGACAACAUGGAACCCUGGAUGUUGUGCGCCUGGCCAUGAGGAUCACGACCGACGAGCGGAUGGACGACAAUACCGCAGAGCUGUUGCUCUGCGACCAGCUGCUAUUAGCGCCACCCGGUAGUUAAUGCCGGCCACGCGCCACGCGCCUCGAGCUGCGUAGUUUUGGUAACCUCGAGCGCAUGUAGCUCAUAAUCCAAGAGAUAAUAGUAGAUCGGUCUAGUACUUUAUUAGUUUGCUGUUUUAGCCAUGAGUUUAGUGCUCAAAUACCGAGGCUCAAAAUUUAGCGAAGCAUGCUCUAUCACUUGGGUUGGCCCCCGUGUGUCAUUAGGCAAUUCGGGUGAUCUUUCUUUCGUCCCUAUAAACAUUGUGAUGAGUUAAAUAAAAGCUUCGUGAGAUUGUCUUAAAAAUAAGUAGUAGACACAUCCUCCGUUCAGAUUUCGUUACUUGGAUGCGUGCCGAUUGUUUUGCCUUUUAUUGCACGUUUAUGGAUGUUCGACCUUCUUUCUUUUGCUUCCAUAUAUGAUAUGGAAACAUCUUGCAUGUCAAACAUAUUCCGAGAACGCAUGCCUAUUUCACCAUUUCCAUUGAUAAUUUAACAGAGCAGACAUUGGCCUAUUGCAACCUACUACAGCGCAUGCACACCUUAUUACAAAUCUGACAGGACUAUCACCUAAAGAAGGAACAAAACAGCGGACACGGCGACCGCACCGAGCAGACCAACUCCGCCGGUGACGGCGUGACGGGAAGAGGAGCUUGCCGGACCAGGCGCUGGGGCGGGCGCGUGAUGAUGUGGUGACGGCGCAGGGGAAUGCUGAGUGGGCGCGUGAGCCGCCGCUGUAACUUGUUGGCUGCCAAGCCGCUCGGUAUGGUUGGGGACGGAUGUUGACGAGGACGGAGAGUGCGCCGGAGCAUGGUGAUGAUGAUGAUGGCGAUGGCGAUGGUGGUGGUGGUGAGCCGGCGCCGGUGCUGUAGCGUGGUGGCCGUGGUGGUGCGGGCUUGGUGCCUUGUGUAGCUCGUCGGCGUCGAGGUGGUACGGCGACGGCGCCUCAGAGUGAUGGCCGCGGUACCACUCCGUGUCUGUAGAAGUGUCCAGCUCAUCCGCGUCGAUGUGGUGGCUCGGCGACGGGGCCGGAGGGUGGUGAUGGUGGUGGUNNNNNNNNNNNNNNNNNNNNNNNNNNNNNNNNNNNNNNNNNNNNNNNNNNNNNNNNNNNNNNNNNNNNNNNNNNNNNNNNNNNNNNNNNNNNNNNNNNNNNNNNNNNNNNNNNNNNNNNNNNNNNNNNNNNNNNNNNNNNNNNNNNNNNNNNNNNNNNNNNNNNNNNNNNNNNNNNNNNNNNNNNNNNNNNNNNNNNNNNNNNNNNNNNNNNNNNNNNNNNNNNNNNNNNNNNNNNUGAUGAUGGUGGUGGCUCGGCGACGGGGCCGGAGCGUGGUGAUGGUGGUGGCUCGGCGACGGGGCCGGAGCGUGGUGAUGAUGGUGGUGGCUCGGCGACGGGGCAGGAGCGUGGUGAUGAUGAGCGCUCGGCGCGGGGGCAAGAUGGCCAGGAUGGUGAGCGGGGCUGGGCGCUUGAGCCGGCGCGUGGUGGUGGUCCUCGUGCGCCGAGGAGAGCGCGACCAGCGAGGCCAGCAGCAGUGCCAUCACCACGGCGGUUGGCGAGAGAGGAGUCGCCAUGGCAACAAGCUUUGGGAGUGGUGGUGGUGGAAUUGUUGCUGUGGUUGUGACAGUCGGGGAGCGGGUCUAUAUAUAGCGACGAGCACGCGUAUCUGGAAGAGGGGAGGGGGCCGUCCUCUCUACUAUGGAAAGUAUUCAAUCUUGCGCAUUAAUGCUUACUAUAAAAAUGCGAUUUCCAUUGAUUCGUUUCCGAUCGUCCAAUUCGCUACACUGGCAGGAAAUAAAUGGGUGUCAUUUAUUCGUGUAUACUCUCUCCGUCCAGAAAUAUUUGUGCUAGAAACGGAUGCAUCUAAAUUUAUAUUAAUUAUAGAUACAUCCAUUUUAUUAAACUUAUUUUAAUUAUAGAUACAUCCAUUUUAUUCAUUUCUAGGACAAGUAUUUUUGGACGAAGGGAGUAGCUGGCAGCAUUAUGGGAACAUAUGGACAUUUGACUGUGAUCUGUCAAAUAUCGUGUGAACCGUUGAGUAUAUUUACGAUAUUUAAAUUGUUGCCCACAGAAAAAAUCUCGACCAUUUAUUAGAAAAAUCAUAAUUGCAUCACGAUUAAUAUUAUAAAAAUCUUCCUAAAAAAGAGAGGGAAAAACCUACGACGCUUGCAGCAGACUGUAAGCAUCACAGGAGGCGGCCAAGGCCCAAGGGGCCGUCUGAUCUGGCAAGGUGCUGGCUGGAGCUGGCCCAAAUGUGCGGCUCGCUGGAUCAAACGACGGUUUUGGGCAUAUGCCGUGCAACGAGCCCAGAAAAAAUUACUCCUUUGGGGUGACCGGUGGUUGUUGGACUAAUUAAUGAUGUACAAACUUUACAAGAAAUAACUCGUAGCAUGGAGGUGCACAUUGCAAAAAUUAUAGAGAGACCAACAUUUAUUCUAACCAAGUUUGCUGGAAAGCAAGAACCUAAUCCGGGUGAGAGUGUACAGACGACGGGUGUGAGUCGUUGAACAUCGAUCCAUUCGCGCCGCCCGCAACCUCCAGUUCUCCGGUGCUCCUCGCCUCGCCGCCGCAUGAGGUCCUACUGGCGAAGUCCGGCCAGGGCUGGGGACGACACCGACUGGGCGUUUCCCUGCGGUGCCAUCACUCUCUCCUGGUUUGGUUUUUGUUGAUGGCUACGACUCGUGGGCGGUACCGGCUAGAUCUGUGGUGGAUUGUGGCCAUGGGAUCCAUCUUUCCACUCAAAGUAUUAAUUUCUUCAAUAGCAUGCACUUUUUUAGUAGAAGAUUUUUCGGUAUGCCAUUAAAAAUAAUUUGAUAUAAUAUUAUUUAGGAGGUUAGUAGCUUCUCCUAAUGUGAUUUCCAUAAAAGUACCACCCGCGACAAAAUCUAAAAGAUUUCUAGAUGCAAAAUUCAAUCUAGCAUAAAAAAUUUGUAUGAUCAUCCAUAAACUUAAACCAUGAGUAGGGCAAUUUCUUAUCAUUAAUUUCAUCCUCUUCCAAGAUUGUGCAACAUGUUCAUGAUCAAAUUGUUUAAAAUUUAUUAUAUUGUUCUUAAGAGAGAUGAUCUUAACGGGAGGAAAAUACUUGGAAAUAAAAUUAUCCUUACACUUAUCACAUGAAUCAAUACUAUUUUUAGGCAAGGAUGAAAACCAAGUUUUAGAGCCAUCUCGUAAUGAGAAGAAACAACUUCAAUUUAACAAUAUCAUUAUCCACAUCUUUUUUCUUUUGUAUAUCAUGCAAUUUAGCGAAAGUAUUAAGAUAGGAUGCAACAUCUUCAUUAGGACUACCAAAAAUUGUUGAUUCAACAAAGCGGCAUUAAUUUUAUAAGAUUCCGCACUAGUGAUGGGAGCAAUUGGAGUACUAAUAAAAUCAUUAUUAUUAGUGUUGGAAAAAUCACACAACUUAGUAUUUCUUGAGACAUCGUGACAAAGCAAGCAAUCUAGCACACAAGAAAAAAAAGCAAAUGAAAAGACAAAUGGAAAGAAUGCAAAUAAAAAGGCAAAUAUUUUUGCUUUUUCUGAAAAUGUUUUAGAAAUGGGGGAGAGAAAGAUGAGAGGCAAAUAGAGAAUAAUGUAAGUGCAGGAUAUGAUAGUUUAUGGUAGGUACUUGGUAGGCUUGAUGUAGAUCCUCCCAGAUAACGGCGUCGGAAAUUCUUUCAGCUACUUCUUGAGCUUGCAUUGGUUUUUUCCUUGAAGAGGAAAGGGUGAUGCAGCAAAGUAGAGAUAAGUAUUUCCCUCACUUAAGAACUAAGGUAUCAAUCCAGUAGGAGAAACACACAAGUACCCAAUGAUUGCACUUACACAAACAAACAAAUACUUGCACCAACGCAAAAAGGAGUCGUCAAUCCCUUCACGGUUACUUGGAAGGAUGAGAUCUGAUAGAGAUAGUAUAAAAGAUAAGUAAAAGUGCAAAAUAAAGUAAAGAUAAAUAAAUUGCAGCAAGGUAUUUUUGUGUUUUUUGAUUUAAUAUGAUAAAAAUAGACCCGGAGGCCAUAGUUUUCACUAGAGGCUUCUCUCUUGAAAGGAAGCAUACGGCGGGUAAACAAAUUACUGUUGAGCAAUUGAUAGAAAAGCGCAAAGUUAUGAUGAUAUCUAAGGCAAUGAUCAUGAAUAUAGGCAUCACGUCUGUGAAAAGUAGACUGACUCCUGCCUUCAUCUACUACUAUUACUCCACACAUCGACCGCUAUCCAGCAUGUAUCUAGUGUAUUAUGUUAACAAGAACGAAGUAACGCCUUAACCAAGAUGACAUGAUGUAGAGGGAUAGAUCCAGUCAAUAUGAAUAAACCCCAGCUUUUUAUCCUUAGUAGCAAUAAUACAAAUACGUGUCAUGUCCCUUCUGUCACUAGGUAUUGUCGGAUUUCGGGUGCCGCAAACCCUUGAGAGGCUCGAACUCUGGGGUGCAUGCGAAGAACUCAACCUCCCCAGUCUGCCUACUCGCCAAUCUCAUAGCCUAGGUCGACGAACUCGAAGGAAAGGGGACACGAUAGUUUACCCAAGUUCGGGCCACCUUGCGGUGUAAAACCCUACUUCUGCUUUGUGGUGGAUUUGGCUCGAAGGGCCGAGGAUGAACUAGUACAGAGGAGAACAACCUCAGGAGGUGUGUUCUUGAGCUCGAGCAAGCUGGUGAGGGUGGAAUUGAUUCGAUCCUCUCCUAUGGUGGUGGCUAGGUCCUAUUUAUAGUGGCCUUGGUCCUCUUCCCAAACAAAGGCGGGAAGGGAUCCCACAACGGCCAAAUUCGAAGGGAGACAACUAGUACAUCUUAUCCUGACAAAAGUGGUCUUCGCCUGUAAAAGCUUCUGGUCAUGAUGCCACGGUGGGCUUGGCGAUGACCUCCAUCCUGCCGUCCUGGCGAUCUUGGCCUUGUUGCACGGGAAUGGAAACCUUUGGCUGAUUCCCCGGGACUCCGUGCCUGCGCUUGUCUUGGCACCAAAGAGGAAACUGGUACACUGUGCCCGCUGGCGCCCACCUGGCCUUGGUCAUCAUGGCUCACGUCACCCGAACCUCGCGAGGUGAGCCUUGCAUAGAAAUCUUCGCUCCUGGGGAGCCAUCCUAAGGAGGCUGCUCCCUUGGAGGUCUUGGUGUCGUUCGCCUCGCGAGGCUUGGCCCCUCGCGAGGGUCUUGAGUCGUCGAAGUCGAGGCUGGGCCUGUCAGGACCCCGAUCCUAAGUCACACUGAUCUAGCAUGUAACACAUCAUAUCACUUUGCGGCCUCACGCACGGUAUUCCCACAGGUGCCACCUUACCUGGCCCGGGACUGUUUGCGCCUUUUGGCUCACGUAUAUGACAGUGCCGCUAGCAUCCAUAUGACAAAGAACCCGGGUCGACAUGACUAGUUGUAAAUCCAAGGUGACGCUAACUUACAGGGACAGGCAUACAUGACCCAGCAACGAAUGUGUCAAUCAACAACGUAUGAACCCAAGUUGUAGCAAGCUACAGGGACUUAAAGGAACAACGAGUGACAUUUCCCCGAAGAGACAGACACAAGAACGAAGAAGGACACAUGCCGGCCAGCCUAAGUGUUCUGGAGCAGUAGCAAGCUACCAUGGCUCAGUGGAAGCACUAGGAGACAUUUCCUGGUAAGAGAGGCUACCAAGAAUAAACAACUAGGUUGUCGGAUCCCACACAUACCAAGCAUUUCAAUGACAUACACACAAUAUGCUCGAUAUGUGCAAAUACAACAUGGCAUCACAACAAAACUCUACGACUCAAAGUAUUUAUUCAAUAGGCUCCAAGGAGCCAAGUAUUACAAUCAUGGGUAUCAUGACCCAACAAUCAGAGCAUACAAACUAAAAGCACAUGCAGAAGCUUAACAUGUCUGAGUACAUACAACUACAAAUGAAAAGGGCUGAGAAGCCUGACUAUCUACAAGACCCUCCAGAGGGCACAAGAUCGUAGCUGAGGUAACAAGCUAAAUGUCGAAGUCCAUGCAAAACUACUCGUGAGACUGGAGUCUCUCUGCAAAAACAUAAAUUAAGCAAACGUGAGUAUAAAUGUACCCAACAAGACUUACAUCAGAACUAUCUACACAUGCAUCAGUAUCAACAAAAGGGAUGGUGGGGUUUAACUGCAGCAAGCCAACUUUGACUCGGUGGCUAUCCUGAACUACGACUGCAAGUAACUCUUUUGAGGUGGCGCACACGAGUCCACAUAUUCACCAUAACAAUACACCACUAUGGAUCCGCUCCCGUCUCCCUACGAGAACGCCAUCCAUAGCACUCACGCUUUUCUUGCGUAUUUUAGAGUAUCCAUUUUCACUUGUCUAUGAACUAUACAGGCAACCCAGAGGUCCUUUACCGCGGAGGUGGCUAUUCGGAUAGAUCAUUUAUAACCCUGCAGGGGUGUACUUCUGCACACACGCUCUCGCCACUUACUGCCAUGUACACGUCAUGUAUCUCGGCAAUCUUCAAGCGAAAGCCUGGUGAGGGUGUCGGCCAUGAUCUGACUAACCACACAAGUCCCUAGUCCAGGUUUAUCGCAUAUUCAGGUUCCAUCUGUAGGGAGUCCGGCCGAGGUUUCCACAUACGGCCCCGAACGAUGUGUGCAGGGUUCCCAGGUCACCAAACGGGCGACUCGGUACAUCGGGCCACAUGCCUACUGCAUCACAGCCCACCCCUCAGGUUAGCGCUGCGCACGGCCUCCAGCAUACUACAAACACCAGAAACUACUUGCAACUCCCGGAUAGAGGACAUGGGCGGUUAAUAAGUUGAGAGGGUCCAUUGGUUUCAGGUCCAUCGCGUGGUAGUAGUUGUUCAUGGAUCACAAACACAGAACUCAGUUCCUGAGGACGGUUUCAAUGAGACAACCCACCACGUACUCCUACAUGGCCUCUCACCGCUAAUUUUACCAAAUCAUGUUCACACACUUAGCUCUCACAUAGUAGGACAUGUUCAUCACCAUUCCAAUGCAUCCCCGAUGAAUCAGACCUGACUCAACUCUAAGCAGUAGCAGGCAUGGCAAACAAGCAUGAAUGAGUAGGCACAUCAGGGCUGAAACAACUCCUACUCAUGCUAGUGGGUUUCAUCUAUUUACUGUGGCAAUGACAGGUCAUGCAGAGGAAAGGGGUUAAACUACCACAUCAAGUAACAGAUGAAUCAUUGUUGUCCUAAUGCAGUAAAAGAGAGCAGGAGUGAGAGAGUGGGUUUGUAUUGGAAUGAACAAGGGAGUUUUUGCUUGCCUGACACUUCUGAACAUAGUAUAGUUCUUCAUGGGUGUCAUAGAUCACAUCGUCGGAACGUCGUCUACACAGAGGGGACAAAUACCGGCAAACAAGGAAGAACACAACCAAUGCAAUGCACAGUAUGAUGCAUGAUCAUGACAUGGAAAUAUGCCGUGAUUGAGCUAAUGCAACUAAAACCAGAAGGGUUUGAGCUAUUUGAACCCAAGGUUCAAAUUCAAAGUCAAACUAAGAAUUUAUAAAGUGCAUUAUCAUGUUUUGAUCUAACAGCAAGGUUAAGUUGUUUAAACAUGCAUGAAACCAGUACAGAUGGAUAGAUUGAAUUUUUUGAUCAUUUUUCAUAUAUAAAACUUUUCAUUCUGAGUUACGGUUGAAUUUAUAUGAUUUUUAGAAGUUUAAAGAAUUUUCUAGAAUUUCUAAAUCUUUUCUGAUUUAUUUUAAUUCCAGAAAGGCUUUACCGCGUCAGCACCGCGUCAUCAUGACGUCAACGAGUCAACAUGGUGCGGUCCUGGUCAAACCUGACGUGUGAGUCCACACGUUAGUGACUAACUAACUAACCUAAGUUAAUUAGUGUUAAACUAAUACCAACUGAAAGUGUUAGUGGAGUUAAUUAAACUUAAUUAAAAACUAAACUAGGAUUAGCAAGGGCCAGGGCCCACUCGUUAGCGACCCAGGGGAGGUCAAACCCCUGGUCAGAGGGGUCAGACCCACCGGCGAGGCCGAACACGGCGGAGGCUUCGGGUUCACUACUCCGGCGACCAAACGGCCGGCGGAGAGCAUCUACAUGGAGUUGGCGGGGUGGCGCAUCCAGUGGUGGCGGUGGCUGAAGCUAGGGUGGUCGGAGUCGACAAUGGCAAGUUCUAAGGCGGUGACCGAAGUUUGAGCAAGCUCGGGUUCGGGGGCUACGGUGUGCAAAAGGACGAACCGAAGCAACCGCGAGGCUCACGUGUUGUUGUGAAGCGUUUGGAUGCACUGGCGCGACCAAAUGGUCGCCGGAGCUACGCUAGCGACGAGCUCCUGUGGCGGAGCAUCUCAGCUCCGAAGGAGGAGGCGGCUAGUGGACAAAAUGAGCUCGAGGAGGAGGGGGAGAGAUGGCGGAGCUCACAGUGAGUGCAACGGUGGCCUCGGCGAGCUCGGGGAGGGGCUGGAGCGUGUGGGGCGGUGAGGGGGAUCUCUAGCAGUUGACGAUGAAGAUGAAGACGACGACGUUACUUCAGGCGUCCCGCGGGCGCGUGCUUCGUCUUGGUGCUCCGUGGUGUCAAGGUGGAGCCUCUGGACAGCACGGAGAGGCGGGGUGGUGGCUCUGGCCACGACAACGACGAGCGGCGGCGACAGCGACGCUCGGAUGGUGCAGGGGACAGAACAAGAGGAGGGGAGAGAGAUCCAGGGGGAGUGAGAGGUGGUCGGGGAGGUGCGUGGCGAAGCGAGGGAGUUCCAGGGGGUCAAGGGGGCAGCUAGGCAGGGAGGAGGUGGCCGCACGGCGGUGCGCGUGCGUCGGGCACGCGCCCGUCCUCCUGGCAGGGAGGAAGACGGCAGGAGGGGGUGGCCAGGCGGGCUGGGCCGCCAGCUGGGCUGCCAGGUAAGGCCCAGGUGGGUUUCCCUCUCUCUCUGCUUUUUCUUCCGUUUUCUAUUUUCUAUAAUUGUUUUGGCUUUAUUAAAAAAUGCCAGCGCAUUUCCAAAAAUCGUGAGACUGCUUGUGGCCACUGUUUGGAUUAUUUCCAACAGUAAACAUUUCAGUUCAUGGAUAUUUGGACGUUUAAAAUAAUAUAUAAAAAUUAAAUGCCCAAAUGCAAAUAAGGUAUGAUUUAAUUCAGUGACCCAAUGUUGUCCUAGAAAAAUGUGAACCAUUUUUGUUAGAGGUUCUAGACCAAGGCAAAGAUGAUGAACAUUUUUGAAGGGCAUUUCAGGUUCAUUGAAAACUAUUUUAGUAACCCUAGUUGGAUUAAGUGGUGCUGGGGGUUUCUGUCAUCCCCAUUUCCAAGUUUCUGAGGAAUUUAAACAUGAUGCAACACUCUAAUGCAUGCACUGACUAGGGUUGUGACAACUCACCCUCACUAAACAAGGAUCUCAUCCCGAGAUUCAAGCAUAGGGUAAGAUGAAGGGGGGACACAGACUAACACAAUCUUCACGAUCCAGGUUGCACUUCAUAAGAACAUUGAUUCGAUCACCAUCUUUGUCUCGAUGUCUUGCUCUGAGAACUCCAACCAACAUGACAACGAGAGGAAAGGGAAAACUCUAGAAGGAUCGAUCUUCUCGAAGAUUGAACAACUCAGGAUCAACUCACGGAGUGAGACAUUGAAACAUCUCUCGAGCUGAGACACGAAGCAUACAUCCAAAGGGAUGGAGUGAAACAGAUGAUGAAGGCUCACUAGGUAGGUAACAAUUCCACACCUAAGAAGAUGGUGGACGAAGUCAGAGUAGCGAGGAGUUAAUUGCUAUGAUUCCAUAGCAGGGCACCUCAAGGAAGGUGACUUGUAGAAUCAUCCCUUAAGUGGCAAAAAUAAUUACUUUUGAUUCAGAGAACAUUGAAAUUCUCUAUACCAGCCUAAGGCAAAUCAUAGUCGAUCAUUUGAAGGAGUCCGAAAGAAUGACAUACUCGGACUAGGAUGGGUGAGGUGGACUACCUUUUUGAUGACAACACAAUGGAUGAUUUUAUUUAUCAUCAAAAAUGGAUGGAACCCAUGGUAGGUCCACUUUUGAAGAUGAUUCUGAAUAACAACCACUGGAAGGGUAGACCAUAGUGAGAUGGCACACUGGCGAUGCAAGAUGGGAACAAGAUGAAAAUGCUGGGAAUGAUUCUAGUAACUGGGGAGAAACCCAACAGUAGAGAGUGAGUCCACUGUUUGAAAGGUUAUAGCAUAACCGAGGAAACUGAGAGCACUAUGCAAUUAAUGUCGACAAAAAAACCUAGUGCUUGCGCGUGCUCUCAAGAACUUGAGCAUUUCCAUAUUCAUCAAGGUUUUACCAACAUCUGCCAGAUCUUGGUGACACCUUGUACUACCAUGAUGAAUAGUGAUGGAGGGUGCAGAUGCAAGGGAAGAUAACAUCUUCUCAGAUUUCACCUUAGCGAGGCCAAGGACACAAAAUCUAGAUGAUCGACCGAGAGACAUUUAGCAUUCCGCUUCUAAUUCUCCUUGAUGUACUAGCGUAACCCAUUUAUAGAUAUGGUUUGGUAUCUUGAACAUCAAGUAAAAGGUCGGACUUUGGGAGCUCAGGAAUCCAUAAGGAAUAACUAUGGAAGUAAAUCUUACGAAAUCCUUAUGGGGAGGUGGCCAACUGCCUCAAUCAAAAUACUACAAUAACUGCUCUUCCGGCUGGGUGUGUUGGCCACGACAUCCACUUUACGGGUUACAAAGAGACCAAUAUUAUAGUUCUUGGAAAAUGUUCCAACCAUCAUAUCUGCCUGAGAUUCAGAUCUGGUUGGUGUCAGGAUAUUCUAGACUCAUCAAGUCUAGAGAGAAAAAUGAAAGUUUGCAACACAAAUCGACGAGACGGCAUUGCGAGAUUCUCGGGGAAUGAACUGCGAUAGCAAGCUCCAAAACAUGAGCUGGUUCUGCUACACAUAUGUGAACACGCUGUCCCAGACAAGCAUGACCACAUAGUAGUCUUAUAAUAAAACACUACCGAGUUCAGGUGGGGAACCAUCAUUUCAGAUAACGAAGUCCUUGAUUAAGCCCGGGUUAGCUCUUAAAAGGAACUCCUUCUCCUGGAACAAAUCGGUUAGUGGCUUGGUGUGCUAGCGAUACAUAUGGAGUGAAGGUUGCAAGUCUCCAAACCAUAGAAUACUUCGCACGUAUGCAUGACCUAUUUGGGAUGAUUCCAGAGGAAGCAACAUUGACUUUCUCGAAUUCACGGCGGCAACUUGCAUCAAAUGCACAUGAAUGGGAGAAAAUCACUUCUUACAUCCGAACAUAUGCUUCAUGAGCGGGACAUGAAGAUAAUGCUUAUAAAAGUUUCCAACACUAGCUGGAUGUUCAACACAAAUCAUGGAGAGGAUAAAAUGCUACUGAUGAGCUCAACAACAAGUCAUCGAGAUUCCCAUGGAGAUGGAAUUCCACAAUUAUGUGAACAAGGUGAUAGCAUUGGUCAGACCCAAAAGAUAUAAUGGUGUAUGCUUGAGGAAACAAUCAUGAGUAAGACAACAUUACGAAUAUCGUUGGUACUGAUUUGAUUUGACGAUAGCCCAUACUUAAAUCAAAGAUUCAGGUAAGAUAAUAGGUCCAGCAAUUGAUCACGAAGACCAAUCAAUGGAGAUAUCAUAUUUCUUCAACACACAUAAACAAAAAUAUCCCUUUAUAAUGAACUAAGUUAGGCAAGCUUUUAUCUUCCAACUCUCCAAGUUGUUGUCUAGCUUAACCAACUAGCUCAGGGGUGUGCAACACAGAUUCUUGGAGAAGGGGUGGUUACAAGAAACCAACUUGAUCACGAACUCAACAUAACAGUCAGGGGACAACUUGGUGAUACUUCCAAGAAGAUAUUUGAAAAAUCACAAACCACCGAUAUGCUAUUAAUCUCGAGAACAAUCUUGCUUUUCAGGGCAAGACGAGAUGAUCAAAUAAGCAAGGGAUUGACAUAAUCCUAACUCAUUGAUCGAAGAGUGCACCAAAAAUAAGGACUAGGUAGCACAAUCUAUCUUAGAAUGAUGAUUCAAGAACCAACACACUAGGAAUGAAGUUAUUGUCCUUUAACUACCAAGUAACAAGGUUGCUAGGGGUAUUGAUUUCACACAUCAUAGUUCACCUAUCGGUAUUCCGGUUGCAACAACACAGGAACCGAUAAAUGAAUAAUGAGGACGAGAAGUAUCACUGUAUCAAGAGUUCAUUGGAUGGUGUGCAAUUCCCAUGAUAUUCUUGAUAUAAAGAUGGUAAUACUCCAAGGUAGAACAUAACAAAAGCUGGAUUGGCAUUUUGAUCUACGGAAUACAACUGCUUUGACCCAAUCAUGGAUAUGGAUGAGGUACUGGAGUUUGUUUCUCCUAGUCAUUCCGAAUAGAAUGGCUUGACGGACCACAAGAAUAAUAGGCAUCGAUAACAUGAAUGCAUAACUACUCCCGACUAUCAAUUGAUAGACGAGGGUCAGAAGACAACUAAAGAGGGACAACUCAAAGGAACAUACGAUAUUCUGAGUUGUGGAUGCAUAGAUUAGUAUGUCGAACGAGUUCAACAUAUUUCUUCCGGAUAACCCAUGCAGAAAAGUAGAACUGGCAGAGUCAUAAUAUGGAAUGGGAAACUCAUCGAGAGCACUCUUAUUGUGAUCUUUUGGUUCAAAGAACUUCUGCCAUAAGCAGUUCAUGGUAUUUGGAAGAACGAUAUACCACGAACCUCGAAGACUAUUGCAAAGGUUACUAAUAUCCUAAAGUAACUAGAAAACACUAUCAACAUGGAGUAAGUAGGUGAAUCUUGGGUUUAAGAACCCAGGAAUAGAAUGCAUACUAACUAAAUGGCAUCACGGGAUGCUUUCGAGAGUAAUGGCCAGAAUCAUCACACUGGAACACAAAACAUGGCUAGAUUACUAGGUGAUACUCUAGACACCUAGGGUCAUAAUAAUAGCUUCAACAUAUAUGCCGAGGCGAUAGAGUACCUCAACACACUAGUUAGUGCGGUUUAUCUGGCAUAAAGAAACUUCGGAAUGGCAAGAAGGGAGGUACAAAUGCAUCAGACUAUUUUAGAAACCUUGGAUGACUCGGACAUCAUAACGGCUGUAAAUGCUCAAAAUGAUUUGAGACUUCCUGCAAAAUGGUGGCAUAACCACUCAACAUCACAAUACCAAGGUUCCGAGGCCAACUAUGAACACACGGAAGUAGUAGAGACUGAACUGAGGCUUAAAUCCAUCAAUCCUAUAAGUCUACAGAUUAGUAAGAUGUGAUCUUGAUAGAAAGAAGAGGAAGCCUAGUUUGUCGGCGUUCUGGAUAUGGGGGUACCCUGACUUGCCUGCCUGCGGCCCACUACGCGGCUCCAUCGGUGGCCUGGUAUGACCCAACUUCAGCAUCGACAGCUCAAGACCCUCGCGAGGGGCCAAGCCUCGUGAGGCAGACAACGCCAAGACCCCUAAGGGAAUCAGCCUCCUCAGGUUGGCUCCCGAGGGGCGGGGAGUUCUAUGCAAGGUGCACCUCACGAGACUCAGUUGACAUGAGCCAUGAUGACCAAGGCCAGGUGGGCGCCAGCGGGCGCAGAGCGCCAGUUUCCCCUUUGGUGCAAAGGAGGCAAGCGGCAGGUGCGGAGUCCCGAGGAACCAGCCAAAGAUUUCCAUUCUGGUGCAACAAGACCAAGACCGCCAGAUGGCAGGACGGAGGUCAUCACCGAGCCCACCGCAGCGUCAUGACCAAAGGCUUUUUGCAGGCGAAGACCACUUUAGUCAGGAUAGGAUGUAGUACUUGUCCCCCUUCAAAUCCGGCCGUUGUGGGACCCCUUCCUGCCAACAUUUGGGAAGAGGACCAAGGCCACUAUAAAUAGGACUUAGCCUCCACCAAAGGGGAGGACAGAAAGAUCAGAUCCCUUCUCAUCCAGCCACCUCACCAGCUCUCUUGAGCUCAAGAACACCUCGCCUCCUGAGGUCAGUUCAUCCACUAUAGUAGUUCAUCCUCAGCCCUUCGAGGCAAUCCACCAAAAUGCUGGAGUAGGGUAUUACAACGCAAGGUGGCCCGAACCAGGAUAAACUACUGCAUCUCCUUGUCCCUUUGAGCUUGACGCGCUAGGCUUAGGAGGAUCGCGAGUAGGCAGGCUGGGUAGGUUGAGAUCUCCGCACGCACCCCAGAGUUCGAACCUACCAAGGGUUUGCCGAACCCGUAAUCCGACAUUUGGCAUGCCAGGUAGGGGUGCGUCGGAGAUCCGCUGCUCCGUCCGUCACAUCGUGCCUCCGGCUUUGAUGGCGGGAGCUCCUUCGUCGACUCGACCGUCGCGUGCCUUUGAGGGGGGCGAGGGGCUCCGCGCUUUCAACCCCUCCUUGUGACGGGUGGAUUGGCCACCUAAGUUCAAGCCAGAGAUGUCGCCUCGCUACAAUGGCACGGUGGACCCGACUGGCUUCCUCUAGGCAUACGAGGAGGCGAUCUGGGCGGCCAGCGGAAGCGACAAGGUGAAGGCCAACUGGCUCCCCAUGGCCCUCAUGGGUGCACCGUGUGCCUGGCUGCUCAACCUGCCGGCAUCCUCCGUGGCCUCCUGGGAGGAGCUGCACGGCCUCUUUGUCGCGCGCUUCAAAGCGCCGGCGCCUCUCGUCGUUGUAUCUCUCCUAGGUGGCUCGCAGGCACCACCCUCUGACCGACACAUCAAGCAGUUCUACCGCCAAGUGAGCACUGCCCAAGUGAGCCCCGGGGCCCCUCCGGGCUAGGCAACGCCUAUGGCUGACCUCGCCUUCGGACCAGAAUAUCAUCCAACAACUACGGCAGGAGCAGGCGCGCUCUCGAUGCUCUGCACCCCCACCAUCUGCAACGUGGCACUCACCAAGACCCUCAUCGAUGGCGGAGCCGGCCUCAACGUGCUCUCUGCAGAGGCAUUCGGCCUGCUACAUGUGCCCCCCAACCGGCUCCGCCCCACCAAGCCUUUCUCCGGAGUCGGUGGUGGCUUCACCAACCCCUUGGGGCAGAUCUGCCUCCCCGUCACCUUCGAGACCCGGGACAACUACCGCACCGAGCUCAUGGACUUCGACAUUGCCAGGAUUGACCUACCAUACAAUGCCAUUCCAGGGUACCCCGCUCUGGCCAAGUUCAUGGCGGCAACCCAUCCAGCCUACAACCUCAUGAAGAUGCCAAGAAGCAACGGUGUCCUCACGGUGGCAGGGGACACCAAGGACGCGCUGCAGGUCCUCAAGCUCGCUUUUAGGUCUGCGGCGUCUGUGCUGCCUGGUGAGAAAGGGGGCCCUAAGGCCCCAGGGGCAGCGCCAGCCAAGAAGAAGCAGCUGUUCUCCCAAGACCGAGCCGAGAUGAAGCAAGUGGUGGUCAAUGAAGACGGGGCAUCAAGCUCCACCUUUACCAUAGGAGCUGGCCUCCCUCAGGGCUAAGAGAAAGUGUUGGUCGACUUCUUGCACGCCAACAAGGACGUGUUCGCAUGGGAGCCCAAAGAUCUGGUUGGGGUUCCAAGGGGAAUAAUCGAGCACCACCUGAAGGUAUGCCCAAACGUGCAUCCAGUGAAGCAGAAGGCCCGCCGCCAGUCCACCGAGAAGCAGGCAUUCACUACAAAAAAAAGACACAUCCGUGACAUUUUGGGCCGAACGAAUUUUUUUUCUGUCAUACAUAUGACACUUCUAUGACGAUAAUUGUGACAAAACCCGGUAUCAUCAAUGAUGUGGUGGGCUCCUACUUCUAUGACAAAAAAUCAUGACAGAAAAUGGGCUUUUCGUCCUGGGCGGGCUGGAGACGCAGCUGCAUGACAUUCUUUGGGCCGUCCAUGACGGAAAAAACCGUGGUAGAAGCGAGGGGGAGGAAAAUUUCGGGGAGUUGCCAGUUACGGUGGGAGGUCGGGGGCGGAGCGAUGCGUGUUUCUCUCGUACGUACGCGCGUGUGUGCGAGGCGUUGGCUCUAACUGAACCCGAGCGAGGCGUUGGGCUCUAACUGAACCCGAGCGAUUGCACUGUAGGCUACGCGUUACUGAACCCGAGCGAUCGAUCAAUGGCUGUUAACUAAACCCGAUGGAGCGAUUCCUUCGCUACUGCUGCUAACUGAAGCCGAUCGAUGCUGCCUCUGGGAUGAACAGUGAGCUUUGUGGGGGUGGGGUUGGAUGAACAGUGAGCGGUGGCGUUGCCUCUGGAUGAACAGGAACCCAUGGUGUGGAGGGCUGGAUGAACAGUAAACAGUGGAGGGGUGGCCGUGGAGGGGUGGUUGAAUAGGACCCCGUGGUGUGGAGGGCUGGAUGAACAAUAGACGGUGGAGGGGUGCCCGUGGAGGGGUGGUUGAACAGUAGCCGGUGGAGUAGCGCGCGGAGGAGGCUGGAUGAACAGGAGCCUGUGGAGGCUAGAGGAGGUCGACGGUAGCCCGUGGAGGCUGGAGGAGGUCGACGGUGGAGAUGAACAUUAUCCCGUGGAGUCCCAUUUUGCGGUACGCCACACCCCUCCCGAUGAACAGGACCCCUGUUUCGACCGUUGCGCUCCAACACAAGUCCGUUUCGUCCAUUUUGCGGUAUCCACACCCCUCCCGAUCAACAGGACCCUCGUUUCGACCGUAGGAGGUCCGUUUCCUCCGUUUUGCAGUACGCCACACCCCUCCCGAUCAACAGGACCCCCGUUUUGACCGUAGGAGGUCCGUUUCCUCCGUUUUGCGGUACGCCACAACCCUCCCGAUCAACAGGACCCCCGUUUCGAACGCGGUCGGUCGAACACAAGGCCGUUUCCUCCUCUGCGGUACGCCAGGCCUUGUUUCCAUCGCCUGUUCCGUCCAAGCCCUCCCAAUGAACACGACCACGCAUUCCGUUCCGACCCAGCCGGUUGGCUCCCACGCGUUCCGUUGCCUCCCGAUGAACACAAAGCAUUCCGUUGCCUCCCCAUGAACACGACGAUGAUGCUGUUUCUCCGUUUCGCCCCAGCCAUGUACGUAUGCGUGAGUAGGCGUUCGAGACCCUGCCCGUAUGUACAUACAUGGACAUAUUUUCUUUCUUGCACCCGCGCCGCCGUACGUACGUGUACGUGCGCGCCUCUACUACGACCAGUAUGUACGUACACGUUCACGACCAGAAUGACAACACUACGUACGCUUCGACCAGGUGGGUCCCGACUAUCAGGCACUUCCUUGCGUGCGAAGAUGUAGCUGGUGGGUCCCAGCAGUCAGGGGGGCGAAUCGUUUUUUUUGCCCGGACGCACUUCCUUGCGUGCGAAGAUGUAGCUGGUGGGUCCCAGCAGUCAAGGGGGCGAAUCUUUUUUUUGCCCGGACGCACUUCCUUGAGUGCGAAGGUGUCGCUGGUGGGUCCCAGCGGUCAGGGGGGCGAAUCAUUUUGUUUUUUUGCCCGGACGCACUUCCUUGCAUGCGAAGAUGUAGCUGGUGGGUCCCAGCAGUUAGGGGGAAACAUUUUUUUCGCGAAAUACAGUGGCCCGUCCGGUGGGUCCCAGCUGUCAAGUGGAAGAAUCAUUAUUUUCCGCGUAAUAAGGAGGCACUUCCUUGCUGCGGCCGUGGACCCAGCUGUCAGCCUCUCCACGUAUAGUCCACGUCCGAUGGAAGUCGUUCCUUGACCACGUUGACCACACUGCGCCGAGAGCACUAUUGCGAUGGACGACGGCAAGGCCUAGGAAGGGGACGACGGGGAGCCGGGGAAGACGCGGCAGUGGAAGGCCACACGGAGAGGAGUACGAGGGUUCACUGGUUCGGCUGCGGUGUGAGGCUGCCAUCACCGCAGGGCCUGGCCAGCGGUGGGAAUAGUAGGGGGCGGUGAGGCCACCGCGGCAGCACAGCCGGCCAUGGGAGGUAGAGCAUGCAGCACGACCGACGCUGCUUUGGGCGGCUGGAGCAAGAAGACCGGAGGUUGAAGAAGCACUACGACCGUUGGAUGGACAUCGUACGGUCACUGGAGCUAGAAUCGUUCAUAUUGACUAAAGUUGACAAAGGCCCCCGUCCCAGUUAACUUAGUAGGCCCACAAGUCAGCCUCCCACCAUGGUGGGUCCCAGCUAGCAAGGGGAGUAUUCAUUUUUUUUGUGCGUAAUAAGGAGGCACUUCCGGUGGGUCCGAGCUGACAGCGCGGGGAACAUUUUUUUCGCGAAAUACGAUGGCCCGUCCGGUGGGUCCCAGCAGUUAGGGGGAAAUGUUUUUUUCGUGAAAUAAGGUGGCCCGUCCGGUGGGGCCCCGCUGAUAGGUGGAGGAAUAAUUAUUUUGCGCGUAAUAAGGAGGCACUUCCUUGCGGCCGCCUGGACCCAACUGUCAGCCUCUCCACGUACAGUACUCUUCCGAUGGAAGUCGGUCAUUGACCAUGUUGACCACACCAUGCUGAGAGCACCAGGGCGGUGGUCUGGACGACGACGAGGCCUAGGAAGGGGACGACGCGGAGCCGGGGAAGACGCAGCAGUGGUAGCCCGCGCGGAGAGGAGUACGAGGCUUCACUGGUUCGGCUGCGGCGUGAGGCUACCGUCGCCGCAGAAUAACAGGGGGUAUGGGUGAGUAGAGGGAUACCCUGGGCCAGUGGUGGGAGUAGUAGGGGGCGGUGAGGCCUCCACGGCAUCACAGCCGGCCACGAGAGGCAGGAGCACGCGACACUACCGGCGCUGCUUUGGGCGGCUGGAGCAAGAAGACCAGAGGUUGAAGAAGCACUAUGGCUGUUGGAUGGACAUCGUACGGUCACUGGAGCUAGAAUCGUUCAUAUUGACUAAGUUAACAAAGCCCUCCGUCCCCGUCAACUUAGUUGGCCCACAAGUCAUCCUCGCACUAUGGUGGGUCCCAUCUAGCAGGGUGGGUAUUCAUUUUUUUGUGCAUAAUAAGGAGGCACUUCCUUGCGUGCGAAGAUAUAGCUGGUGGGUCCGACAUGUCAGCGGGGGGAACGUUUUUUUCGCGAAAUACAGAGGCCCUUCUGGUGGGUCCCAACUGUUAGGUGGAGGAAUCAUUAUUUUGCACAUACAGUCCAUGGCCGAUGUAUCUCGUUCGUUGACCAUGUUGACCAGGCCGCGCCGAGAGCACCAUGGCGGUGGACGACGGCGAGGCUUAGGAAGGGAACGACACGAAGCCUGGGAAGACUCGGCAAUGGUUGCCCACAUGGUGGGGAGUACGAGGGUUUACUGGUCCGGCUGCCAUCGCCGGAAAAUAACAGGAGGUCUGGGUGAGUAGAGGAAUGGCCUGGCCAGCAAUGAAGUAGGGUGGGGCGGUGCGGCCUGUGCGGCAGCACAACCGGCCACGAGAGGCGGGAGCAGGCAGUCCCACCGGAGCUGGUUUGGGCGGCUGGAGCAAGAAGAUCAGAUAUUGAAGAAGCAGCACGGCCGUUGGAUUAACAUCCAAUGGUCACUGCUGCUAGAAUCGUUUGUGGACUAAGUUAACAAAGCCAAAGUACACGUCAACCUAGUAGACCCACAAGUCAGCCUCCAAAUCUGUCCCAAACAGCAUACGACCCGAAAUUUCUAGUCGGAUUCAAAUUAAUUUUAAAUCUAAAUAUACCUUAAUUUAAAUUCAAUGAAAUUUUACCCGCACAAAAACAAUGAAAUUUAAAAUAUCAAAAUCCAAAAGAAAACAACAUUUUGGGAACUAAUUGCCUGUUUGCUGUAAUUUUUUCAUUUUACAGCCCAUUUAUUAUUACUUAUAGCCCAUUUUCUGGGCAAAAUGCAUCCCUCCUCGUCUUGAAAGAUUUCCGGCCCAGCAGGGCGUAGAAAAGCAAGUAGGCCUAUGUUGGUUAUUCUGCAAAAAACAAAAUAGCUGGCUAGCCAUUUUUCAGAAAGGAAAAAAACAAACUGGGCUGGUCAUGUGCUAAACAUAUGAAAUAAAAGCCUGGGCUAGACGGGCCACAGGUCCCGCACAACCCAUUUGAUACCCUUCUCCGUCCCGAAAAAACAAAAUUACUGCGCGCGCUGCUGGGUCCCUACUGUCAUCGUCACCAUGUACAAUCAUCUCCUUAUUCCUCUCGGUUGUUGACCAUGUUGACAACACCGGAGGGCGGCGCCGCGGCGAGCGUGGAGGACGAUGGUGAGGCCUCGGACGGGAACGAAUAGGAGCCUGGGAAGAUCAUAGCCAGCCGUGGGAGGUGGGAGCAGGCGGUCCUGCCGGCGCUGGUUUGGCUUUGGUGGCUCGAGGAAGAAGAGACUGAAGAAACGCGAUAGACAUUGAAUGUCAAUCAAACGGUCAAGGUUGGCACAAUCGUUUUUUGACUAAGUGGACACCAAGUAGCAUACUUUUUUAUAUAUAGGAAGAAAACUGCGAGGAAAAUGCGUUCGUCUGCCGUCCUCCUCACAGGGAACAUUCGCCACAUAAGUGACUAGCACCCUUGGUUUUCAACCAAGAGGUCUUGGGUUCGAAUCCGAGGAACUCUCAAUUUUGUCCUCCUUCCUUCCUCGCAAAAAAAUGGAAAGAAAAUCAAAGACUCGGGAAGACGUACAAAACAAGCUAAUGUACCAGUAAAGAGACGUUGCCGAGUUUUAGAAAAAAGAAAGACGUGCUCCUGUAGCUGGUUCGAAUCCAAACCUAGACUAUAACUAUAUAUGGUGCUAUGCUACUCUGCAAGUAAUGAAACUGACAUAUCCAACAUUCGCUUCUCCUCUUCUCUACUUACUCUGCCUAGCAUCAGAAGCUCUGGCCGCAGCAACCAUGUCCGCUGGCUGCUCGUCCACCUGCUCUUCAGCAGGCAACAACCAGAUAUGCGCCAAGUUGCCACCCGUACCAUCGCCUGUGGGUCUCAUCACACGCCCGCCGGCACGCGCACUGCAACUGAUUGCUCAUCGCAACCCACUACCGUUGGUGUGGUGCCAUUGCUGCAAAUUACGCAGAGUCAUCCGUCGCGUCUCAACCACAAUCCGCAACCCUGGCCGAGUCUUCUACAAAUGCCCGAAUCAUGGGGUAAUAAUAUGUUUAAGUGUUCUUAUGCUGCUUUCAAUUGCUGAUUUUUUUAAUAGUUUGGUUGAUGAUCUUCCAAUUUGAUUCGUGCAGAAAAGGGAAGAUUUGUGUGAUUUGUAUUUCUGGGAAGUUGCUGAUGUGGGGGAAUGCAACUAUGCUGAUUAUUUGGUUAGCCGAGAAAUCCCAAUACCAGCAGGUUGGGGUGUUGGACAAGUAACUGAAGGAACGACAGAAGAGGAAGAUGCAGAGCAGAAGGUUAAAGACGCAGUUCCUUUGAUCAUGGCCAAGCAACAACUGCUGAACGGCCUUGACAGCAAUGAGGAGAUGAAAGAGCUUGUGAAGAUAAUGGGCAAAAUCGAUGUGCUCUGUAGGAUGAUUGUCUCUUUAUUUGCAGUGUAUGUAGCACUCGUGAUGUAUUCAGUGGCUAUGACAUGAGCACUUUGCUGAAACUAGUAAUGAAUGAAACCUGCGUAGCAGGCUGGGCAUAGUGUUGUGAACAUCUAAUGAUUUCUAUUAACAGAAAUCAGGGGGUAUCCCCUUUUGCUCAUUAAAUAAAUAGAUAGCAGAGGCCCUGUCGGGUCAGGUUUGUUCUCAUUCGAAGACGUCGAGCAAAUUGCGGUCCAACAGCAAACUAUGUCAUCAAAUUGAAGUUUCACACCCAAAUAUGAGUACAACUAAACAACAAUGUCAUCAUGUUUUAGUUGUCAUACAAUCACCAAACACAAAUCAGCAUACAUAACAAGUGAUGUUCUCACAGCAAAAUACUAAACAACAUGUUCAUCAGGUUUCAGUUGUCAUAGCAAACACAAUUUCACAUAGUAGAUAAAAAACGUCUUCUAACAGGCAAAUACGACAAAAGCAAUGUAAUCAUCAUCCGCAGCAGCAGCGUCAACAUCUUCGCCAUGUGUAUCAGUCUGAAUCGUAAUUCCCCACGGUGUCAUCUUCUUCUUCAUCCUCAACGUCCUCGAACAUUGGCUUCUUCUUGAUCAACUCUUGUAUGUCCAUAGCAUGAUAGGCAAUCUUUUCGCCGGCGUCAUUGACGUGAUGGUUCUCAAAGUUGUUAGGAACAUAUGUGUUAUCUUGUACAUCAGGAGCAGUGUAAGCAUCAUCUUGUUGUGCAACUUCAUUAAACGAAUUCCUCUGCUCAAACCUUUGCAAUACUCUCCAGCCAUCGCUACGUGCAAAUGUGUCUUCCAAGAAAAAUAUCUGUGUUGCUUGAUUUGCCAAAAUAAAAGGCUCGUUGGUCUGGUACACCGCCUUGACAUUGAUGGAUUUGAAAUAAUCAUCAGCUCUGGGUUUUGCGAUCCUGGAAAAUAGGUUAUACCAACGACAGCACAACAGAACCACACACCGAUGAUCCUCGAAACUGGAGAUAUACUGCAACUGAACAAUGUCUGUUAUGUUAGCAUACAUUUCAGUUGUCUCUUUGUCAUACAUAUCCGUGCUCAUUAUGGCACUGUUUUGUGUCUUCCUGCCUUCGUCUCGUGCAAGGGUGUUGUAGCGCACAUCUCCAACAACGCAAGAUUCAUAAUGUCUUACCCGAGUAUCAGGACCCAUUGCUAGUGAGUAAAGGGCAUCAUCAACUGCCUGCCCAUCCUCCCGCAUCUUCUUAACCUAUGGUUAGAAAAUAGACAAGCUGAUCAUCUUAUGUACUCAAUAUAUUAAAAAAACUGACAGUGCACUUCAAAAGCUUACAUGGUUCUUGAACCAUUUCACAAAUCCUGCCAUAACCAGUUUGUCAAUGUUUCUUGGAUUUUGCGGCAGUAACUCCUCUUUGUACAUGCUGCACAACAUAGUGAUCACGUCAAACAUCUAAAUAUAUAAGAAUGUGCUGCAAGUUUAGUAGAUUAUGAUGUAUAAGCUGCAGUACUGCACUUACUUGAUAUAAGGUAGUAUCUCAGGACAGUUAUUCAACACAUACCAAACCAUUUUGUCCAAAUCUUUAGGUUUGUCCUCUUGUCGACUCUUCCCUGUAACUCGAACAGAAUAAUCGAAAACACUGAGCCCGGGAUUGUCUUCACCCACCUCUUUGCUAAGCUGAUCAGCUGUUUCAAUGUAUUUUGAGCAGAAUGUCAACGCUUCUGUAGCAAUGUAGGCCUCUGCAAUGGAACCCUCAGGUCUAGCUCUGUUCCUAACAUAGCCCUUGAAAGUGCCUAGCCGCCUUUCAAUAGGGUAAAUCCAGCCAUACUGUACUGGACCUCUAAGUAGUGCCUCAUCAGGUAGAUGAACAACCAAAUGCACCAUCACAUCAAAGAAGGCCGGAGGAUAUAUCUUCUCAAGGUCGCAUAGGGUAGUUGGUAUCUUGUCUCUAAGAUGCUCCAAACCAUAUAUCCUGAUAUUUCUACUGCAGAGUUCCCUGAAGAAUUGUCCCAACUCUGCAACUGCUCUGUAUAAGUCAGGGCGGCCCAAUCCUCUAAGGAUAACAGGUAAAACCCUUUGAAGUAGGACGUGUCAGUCAUGAGUUUUCAACCCUUGUACCUUGUUUCCAUCUGCACUGACUCUCCUUUCAGGGUUGGAAGCAAAUCCAUGUGGCAAUCUCACACGUGACAGGACCUCAUAGAAUUCUUUUCUUUUUACCUUGUCCAAGAUGUACACAGCUGGUGCCAUAUCCCGUGGUUUACCUUCAUCUUGCACCUGCAAAUCCUUUCUGAUACCCAGGUGUGUCAAAUCAAUCCUAGAUUUUAAGGUAUCUUUCGUCUUGCCUUCAAUGUUAAGAAGUGUGCCGAUAAUGCUGUCACAUAUAUUUUUCUCGAUGUGCAUCACAUCAAGAUUAUGCCGCAGAUCCAAAUCUUUCCAAUACUCCAAGUCCCACAAAGUGGACCUGCGGGUAAACAAUAAUCUCUUCUACCGUGCCAUGCUUCCUUUUCCCGCUACCAUUACCAGGAUGGUUUCCUGGUGUAAUAUGCCUGACCUUCUCUAAUUCCACUUGCAACUCAUCGGCGGUGAGCCUCUUUGGCGCAUCACGGUUUUCAUGCUUUGCAUUGAACACAUGUCUUUGGUAUUUUCUAGGAUGCGGCUUGUCCUUGGCAAGGAAACAGUGGUGUCCAAUGUAACAGGUCUUGCUAAGUAUUGCGUAUGACAGCGGAUUCCUGUCACAGCGAACACAUGCAUUGUAACCAUGUGUCGUUUGCCCUGACAUAGUGCCCAAAGCCGGAUAAUCAUGGAUGCACCAAAUUACAACAACACGCAGAAAGAAAUCAGCUGGUGGGCUUCUAUAUAGGUCUCGAGUGAGAACACCCUUCCAUAGCUGUUGAAGUUCCUCCACAAGAGGCUCCAUGAACAAAUCAAAAUCCUUUCCAGGACUUUUUGGACUUGGGAUGAACAAGGCCAUCAUGUAGUUUGAUUCUUUGGUGCAGACAUUUGGAGGCAUGUUGUAAGGGAUAACAAGCACUGGCCACAUGCUAUAUGUGGCGCUCUGGUGGCCAAAUGGGUUAAAUCCAUCUGAAGCUAAGCCAAGUCUAAUGUUUCUCGGGUCAGCAGCAAACUCUUUGUGUUUAUCAUUGAAGCUUUUCCACUCACUACCAUGAGAUGGAUGGCUCAUUACAUUCUGAUCUCUGUACUCCUAGUUCCUAGAAUGCCACAAUACAUCCUCUCUUGUUUCAGCAUCAUGAAACAACCUCUGCAAUCUUGGUGUAAUUGGAAAAUGUCUCAGAACAUUAUGAGGAACCCUCUUCACAGCUUCACCAUCUUUCCAUCUUGAUGAUUUGCAUUUGGGGCAUUCACUUAAGUUGGCAUAAUCCUUCCGGAACAGAACACAAUUAUUCUUACAAACAUGGAUCAUAUCAUAUCCAAUUCCAACUACACGAAGGAAAUUCUUCAUUUUACUGUAGGUGUGUGGCAGCUCAGACGCAUCUGGGAAAGAUUUGCGGAAAGCAACCAACAUCGCAUCGAAUGAUUUGUUGGUCAUCCGCUCAGAUGUCUUCACCUGAAGAAAGGUGACCAUAGCUGAGAAUACUGACAGCUUAUUUCCUGGGGUGACAACAAUGUUGUAUUGUUCCAACAUGCAGGCCCACCGUUUUUCUUCUACAGGUGAAAGUUCACGGAAUGCACGAGCAUUUCGUAGCAUUGUUUCAAUGUUGGUCAAGCUCACUGGCUCCGCCACCACCACCUCCUCCUCCUCUUCCACCUGAGCAUCAAGCAGAUCAAGAUGGUGAUCUGCUGCUUCCACGUAGUCAAUAACAUUGACGUUCACAGCUUCACCAUGAUGAACCCACCUAGUAUAUGUGACCGACAUCCCAUACAAGUGUAGAUGAUUUUGCACAGUUGACUGGGGUCUUGUAACUGAAUUCAUACAACUGCUACACCGGCAGAGCACAUCUGAUUUCUGACCACCGUACUCAGCUCUGAUAAAGUUCAUGAAGUUUUCAACCCCCUCGACAUAUGCAGCGGAGAAUCUUCAAGCAGAAGUUAUCCAAGUCCUGUCCAUCUGUUAGACAUACAAAUUAGUUCUUCUACUAGAUAUUAUAGGAAAAACAUAUAUGCUUUUUUAUGAAGUCCAGAAAAAAAUACGUAGGUCGAUGUCUAAAGCUAUGGCAAGAUAUUUGGACGAGCAGAUCUAAGUAACGAAAUAUAUGUAAAGCUAAUUCAGCAAACAGAUUUGAGUGCUAAAUUAUGGCAGGCUGUUUCAGCAGUCAAUGAGCCCGAGCACACAGCCAUCGAACUAUCGAAGGCCAUCGCAGCAACAAAGAUCGAGUAUAAAACGGUGUAGAGCUAUUUCACCUAACAGAUUGGCUACUAGACCAUGGCAAUCUACGUCACAGUAAAUAUAUGGCAGGAUAUUUUAGCAACUAAUCGGCCUUGGCAUGCCAUCUCAGCUAAGUAGAUUGAGUGCAGAACAGGGCAAGGAAGCUUCUUAAGCAGAGCAUAUUGAUAGUAAACUACUUCGGCAAACAGUGAGAUUAACAUCGUCUAUCAGCUAACAUUCAGCGCUACACCGACAUGAAUGGGGCCUCAGUCUAGAAUGCGCGUACCGUGGGAGAAGCUGACCGCCGUGCGUCUCCACACGAACGUCGCCAGCGGUGGCGGCGCUGACCGCCAUGCGCCUCCACAAGAAUGUAGCCAGAGGUGGCGGCGCAGCUAGAGGACGGCAGUCUACGAGAGCAUACUGUGGGAGCGAGAGGAUCGCCGUGCGUCCCCUUGAAGAACCGCGGCGCCGACGUAUCGGCACGGCGGGGAGGGCGGCUUUGGCGGAGCGAAUGGAGUNNNNNNNNNNNNNNNNNNNNNNNNNNNNNNNNNNNNNNNNNNNNNNNNNNNNNNNNNNNNNNNNNNNNNNNNNNNNNNNNNNNNNNNNNNNNNNNNNNNNNNNNNNNNNNNNNNNNNNNNNNNNNNNNNNNNNNNNNNNNNNNNNNNNNNNNNNNNNNNNNNNNNNNNNNNNNNNNNNNNNNNNNNNNNNNNNNNNNNNNNNNNNNNNNNNNNNNNNNNNNNNNNNNNNNNNNNNNNNNNNNNNNNNNNNNNNNNNNNNNNNNNNNNNNNNNNNNNNNNNNNNNNNNNNNNNNNNNNNNNNNNNNNNNNNNNNNNNNNNNNNNNNNNNNNNNNNNNNNNNNNNNNNNNNNNNNNNNNNNNNNNNNNNNNNNNNNNNNNNNNNNNNNNNNNNNNNNNNNNNNNNNNNNNNNNNNNNNNNNNNNNNNNNNNNNNNNNNNNNNNNNNNNNNNNNNNNNAAUAUUUGGCCGAAGGGCGGUUGAAUCGAAUUUGGGGGGAAUUUGUGUGUGUGUGUGUGGGGGGGGGGGAGUUUGGCGCAUGGUCGGUUUCUCCAAGUGCAGUCCCACGUGUCAGUGAAGAGGCAAGCCGAAGCGCGUUCCGUUUGCGUGAGCCGUGUGCAGGACCGAACGUGUGUGGGGUGCAAUGCGACCGCGACAGGCGCCUUUUUUCCUUUUAAACUAGGUGCUUCGCCCCCUCAAAAAAAUGUUGCUUCGCGCGAUCCAUCGAUACUACUACUGGUAAUCCGGUAAUCCCGACUAAUAAAACGGCGCAGCCGGGUCUUUUCCCGCGCGAUAUGCUGGGAGGUUGGCUUAGUUGGGUUUUUUAGAUUUGUCUCGGUUCAAUAAAAAGCAGAGUUGGUGAUGAUGGUG